This 265-nucleotide ribosomal RNA is filed under the name uncultured prokaryote. Its description in RNAcentral is "partial 16S ribosomal RNA". It matches the Rfam family "Bacterial small subunit ribosomal RNA", at positions 524 to 788 of the family's 1533-position model. The record is from RNAcentral.
UACGUAGGUGGCGAGCGUUGUCCGGAUUUACUGGGCGUAAAGGGAGCGUAGGCGGACUUUUAAGUGAGAUGUGAAAUACCCGGGCUCAACUUGGGUGCUGCAUUUCAAACUGAAAGUCUAGAGUGCAGGAGAGGAGAAUGGAAUUCCUAGUGUAGCGGUGAAAUGCGUAGAGAUUAGGAAGAACACCAGUGGCGAAGGCGAUUCUCUGGACUGUAACUGACGCUGAGGCUCGAAAGCGUGGGGAGCAAACAGGAUUAGAUACCCG